GACGAACGCUGGCGGCGUGCUUAACACAUGCAAGUCGAGCGGUAAGGCCCUUUCGGGGGUACACGAGCGGCGAACGGGUGAGUAACACGUGGGUGACCUGCCCUCAGCUCUGGGAUAAGCCUGGGAAACCGGGUCUAAUACUGGAUAUGACUCCAUGACGCAUGUUGUGGGGUGAAAGCCUUGUGCGGCUGAGGGAUGGGGCCCCGCGGCCUAUCAGCUUGUUGGUGGGGUGA
Molecule: ribosomal RNA, 233 nt
Filed under: uncultured bacterium
Lineage: Bacteria
Description: partial 16S ribosomal RNA
Rfam family: Bacterial small subunit ribosomal RNA
Source: RNAcentral